RNAcentral lists this ribosomal RNA (496 nucleotides) under uncultured bacterium. Its description in RNAcentral is "partial 16S ribosomal RNA". It matches the Rfam family "Bacterial small subunit ribosomal RNA", at positions 28 to 506 of the family's 1533-position model. The record is from RNAcentral.
GAUGAACGCUGGCGGCGUGCCUAAUACAUGCAAGUCGAGCGAACAGACGAGGAGCUUGCUCCUCUGACGUUAGCGGCGGACGGGUGAGUAACACGUGGAUAACCUACCUAUAAGACUGGGAUAACUUCGGGAAACCGGAGCUAAUACCGGAUAAUAUAUUGAACCGCAUGGUUCAAUAGUGAAAGACGGUUUUGCUGUCACUUAUAGAUGGAUCCGCGCCGCAUUAGCUAGUUGGUAAGGUAACGGCUUACCAAGGCAACGAUGCGUAGCCGACCUGAGAGGGUGAUCGGCCACACUGGAACUGAGACACGGUCCAGACUCCGACGGGAGGCAGCAGUAGGGAAUCUUCCGCAAUGGGCGAAAGCUUGACGGAGCAACGCCGCGUGAGUGAUGAAGGUCUUCGGAUCGUAAAACUCUGUUAUUAGGGAAGAACAAAUGUGUAAGUAACUAUGCACGUCUUGACGGUACCUAAGCAGAAAGCCACGGCUAACUACGU